RNAcentral lists this ribosomal RNA (394 nucleotides) under uncultured bacterium. RNAcentral describes it as "partial 16S ribosomal RNA". It matches the Rfam family "Bacterial small subunit ribosomal RNA", at positions 523 to 918 of the family's 1533-position model. The record is from RNAcentral.
AUACGUAGGGUGCUAGCGUUAUCCGGAUUUACUGGGCGUAAAGGGUGCGUAGGUGGUCUUUCAAGUCGGUGGUUAAAGGCUACGGCUCAACCGUAUUAAGCCGCCGAAACUGGAAGAAUUGAGUGCAGGAGAGGAAAGUGGAAUUCUCAGUGUAGCGGUGAAAUGCGUAGAUAUUGAGAAGAACAUCAGUAGCGAAGGCGGCUUUCUGGACUGUAACUGACACUGAGGCACGAAAGCGUGGGUAGCAAACAGGAUUAGAUACCCUGGUAGUCCACGCCGUAAACGAUGAGUAUUAGGUGUCGGGGGUUACCCCCCUCGGUGCCGCAGUUAACGCAUUAAAUACUCCGCCUGGGGAGUACGCGCGCAAGUGUGAAACUUAAAUGAAUUGACGGGG